ACAAAGGCUCUUUUCAGAGCCACCCACUGCCCUCAAGACAAAACG
Monodelphis domestica (gray short-tailed opossum) is the source of this 45-nucleotide regulatory RNA element. It matches the Rfam family "Histone 3' UTR stem-loop". Rfam says of the family: The mRNAs of metazoan histone genes lack a poly-A tail. 3' end processing occurs at a site between a highly conserved stem-loop (modelled by this family) and a purine rich region around 20 nts downstream (the histone downstream element, or HDE). The record is from Rfam. Lineage: Eukaryota; Metazoa; Chordata; Mammalia; Didelphimorphia; Didelphidae.